RNAcentral lists this transfer RNA (86 nucleotides) under Felis catus (domestic cat). It matches the Rfam family "tRNA". Rfam says of the family: Transfer RNA (tRNA) molecules are approximately 80 nucleotides in length. Their secondary structure includes four short double-helical elements and three loops (D, anti-codon, and T loops). The record is from Rfam by way of RNAcentral. Lineage: Eukaryota; Metazoa; Chordata; Mammalia; Carnivora; Felidae.
GCCCGGGUGGCUCAGUCGGUUAAGCAUCUGACUUCAGCUCAGGUCAUCAUCUCGUGGUUUGUGGGGUUCGAGCCCCGCGUCGGGCU